RNAcentral lists this ribosomal RNA (464 nucleotides) under uncultured bacterium. RNAcentral's name for it is "bacterial SSU rRNA". It matches the Rfam family "Bacterial small subunit ribosomal RNA", at positions 338 to 795 of the family's 1533-position model. The record is from RNAcentral.
CCUACGGGCUGCACCAGUGGGGAAUAUUGCACAAUGGCGCAAGCCUGAUGCAGCCAUGCCGCGUGUGUGAAGAAGGCCUUCGGGUUGUAAAGCACUUUCAGCGGGGAGGAAGACGAUAAGGUUAAUAACCUUGUCGAUUGACGUUACCCGCAGAAGAAGCACCGGCUAACUCCGUGCCAGCAGCCGCGGUAAUACGGAGGGUGCAAGCGUUAAUCGGAAUUACUGGGCGUAAAGCGCACGCAGGCGGUCUGUCAAGUCGGAUGUGAAAUCCGCGGGCUCAACCUGGGAACUGCAUUCGAAACUGGUAGGCUAGAGUCUUGUAGAGGGGGGUAGAAUUCCAGGUGUAGCGGUGAAAUGCGUAGAGAUCUGGAGGAAUACCGGUGGCGUAGGCGGCCCCCUGGACAAAGACUGACGCUCAGGUGCGAAAGCGUGGGGAGCAAACAGGAUUAGAUACCCCCGUAGUC